RNAcentral lists this ribosomal RNA (207 nucleotides) under uncultured bacterium. Its description in RNAcentral is "partial 16S ribosomal RNA". It matches the Rfam family "Bacterial small subunit ribosomal RNA", at positions 568 to 774 of the family's 1533-position model. The record is from RNAcentral.
CGCGCAGGCGGUCUUGUAAGUCAGAUGUGAAAGCCCGGGGCUCAACCCCGGAAGUGCAUUUGAAACUAUAAGGCUUGAGUAUGGGAGAGGGAAGUGGAAUUCCUGGUGUAGAGGUGAAAUUCGUAGAUAUCAGGAGGAACACCGGUGGCGAAGGCGACUUCCUGGACCAAUACUGACGCUGAGGCGCGAAGGCGUGGGGAGCAAACA